UACGAAGGGGGCUAGCGUUGUUCGGAUUUACUGGGCGUAAAGCGCACGUAGGCGGAUCGUUAAGACCGAUGUGAAAUCCCCGGGCUUAACCUGGGAACUGCAUUGGUGACUGGCAGGCUUUGAGUGUGGCAGAGGGAGGUAGAAUUCCACGUGUAGCAGUGAAAUGCGCAGAUAUCAGGAGGAACACCGGUGGCGAAGGCGGGUCUCUGGGCCGAUACUGACGCUGAGGAGCGAAAGCGUGGGGAGCAAACAGG
Molecule: ribosomal RNA, 254 nt
Filed under: uncultured bacterium
Lineage: Bacteria
Description: partial 16S ribosomal RNA
Rfam family: Bacterial small subunit ribosomal RNA
Source: RNAcentral